UUAAAGGGUGGGCUCAGUUCAGCGCACACUGUGUCUCACCGAUAAAAUCCAUUGCGCAGGCUCGAAGGCCUUACCCGCAUUUGCGAAGUCCUGUAUCACCAGCGCGCUUGUAAUAAACGUGGGUAGAGACCUUUCCCAAAUCUUCGUUCAAGAAGACUGGCCAUGAAUGAAUGAAUGAAAGUUCCCACAAAUUGGAAAACUUAAACAGAAACCCCCACGUCACUGGGAAUUCUGCUGAACUUUGCUAAUUUGUUGAACUUCAGUUAUAAACAUUUAUCAUUCACUCCAGUGGUCUGAAGAACCCCUGAGCAAUACAAAUGAAGUGUCAGGAGAAAAGACAAAUAUUUUCUCUAUUUAAUCUGAAGCUUGAUCCAGGCCAGAGGCAUUUUUAUGCCUAUGGCAGGAAACUAUCUUCCAUAUUUCAUUUAAAGCAGCAAUUAACUGGUUCAGAUUAAUUAUCCAUUUGUAGCCUAGCUCAUGUUUUAUUGUUCAUUUUAAACUUUUCAGAUUCUCAUCCUUAUCUUUCAAAAUGACAUCCAGGUAAUCCUUGAGCAAAGCCUGAGUCCUUAUUUAUUCCUCUGCCUCCUUCACUGGAGCUCAUGCCUGAAAUAUAGCAGCUACACUGGUUUUGGAGAUGUUUUACCCUCUGCUCACAGCUGACAGCUCUGCUGGUGAAAGUAAUUAUUCAGAGGAACUGGAACAUCACAAAGCUCAGGAAGGACCGAAACAUUUAAUCCACCGCAGUCGCUCAUACUGUGCUAUCAGCAGCAAGAAGGUGCAACCAGGUUAUAGUGGUCACUGAAGCUCCAGAGAAUGCUUCACAUAACAACAGCCAGACUAUGGUAACAGAGGAUGGUAUCUUCUGGAUUAAAAAAAGGAAUUAACGUAAUACAGGUGUAUGAGAAAAGUUUCAAGCAUUCUGUCUGCCACUGACUUUAAACUUUUUUCUACAUUUCUUUGCUUUAGAGCUCUUAUUGUGUGCUACUUUUUCUGCCAAAUUAUAAUUAUUUUAAAUUGUGCUCUCAAGACAUAACAAAAUCCCAAAGGUAAUUUUGCAUAAACAUCAACAGUGGUAUGUAGUGGAUUAUACAACAGUAAUGCAUCUAACAAGUCAUAUGCCUAAACCCAAGUUUCAGGACAAAGGAGAAGAGCAGCAAGCUAAAAGUGAGUAGGGCAACAGAAGGUCUGAUAUUGACUGUUAUACAUCUCUAUACCACAACAUAGCUACAAAUACAACAGACGUCCACUAUAUGGUAGAUUUCUACUGUAUUUACACUGAAACACAUUCAUUCUUAUACCAGCUUUCUAAAUAAUCAGCUCGUCACUUCAUUAGCAAUUCCUAAAGACUCAUGCAAUGACUUCUCUUUGCUGUGUAUCCGCAACCAAGGGUACCAGGCACACAUACAAGUAGGGUUUAUUUUCCUACCCCAGAAGUAUUAUGAACCUAAAUGCAGCAUGGAAGUAAAUUGACCAGUUAUGCCUCUUGUCCAGACCACUCUGAACAAACUGGAAACUAAGGAAAAUCACUCAUUCAGUCUGUCAGAGGCUUUCAAAGUAAUUAUUAACUCAAAUCUAAAAAAUCUAAAAUUUGCUGCAAUUAAGUUAGCUGCCUCAGAAUCUAACAUGAAGCACAAUCAUGUGCUCUUAAACAUCCAGAGCUGUGGGCAAAUAAGAGAUCCUAGAUAUAAUAUUAUUAUUUUUUACGGAAAUGUUAAGAAACUUCUAAGCAUCUUUUUCUUGGGAUGUCUUUGUUGGAUCAGAAAAUGUUCCAACUUAGGAUCCAUUAUUACUGAGGUACUUUACAAUCUAUACAACAUAUUGUGAUGCUUAAGAACAGGUUUCUUUAAUUGAGGAAUUUGGCAGUAAUUUGAAUGAGGCAGUAGGUAAAAAAUUGCUGUGAUUCUAUUGGAAAGAGAGCUCCCUUGCAGCCAUGAGAGCAAAUCACCAUGGAAACUUUUUGCUAAGAUGAUAUUAAAGCACAGCACGUACACUUACAUCUCUCCUUUUGUAAUAAGCAGUAUUUUGUGAUACAGUCUGGAGUGACUGAGUAAAAGGGCUAUUUGCACAGCAAGAGACCAGGACUUACUCAGGACUACUGCAGAAUUUUGCUAUGCUCCGGAGCUGGCCAGUUGACAGUAUAUCUUGUUACAGAAGAAAAGUAUUAGGAGAUGAAUGGAUCUUAUCCAACCAACUUGGUAAAGUCAAGUUGAUAAACACACAGGAAAAAUAGGUUUGUGAACUGGCCUCAAACUAUUUUAUCACCAUGAGAAGCUAACUAAGUGUUUUCAUGUUGUCAUAGAAUGAUCUGUUUUUCCAAUCAGGAUA
Molecule: long non-coding RNA, 2325 nt
Organism: Manacus vitellinus (golden-collared manakin)
Lineage: Eukaryota; Metazoa; Chordata; Aves; Passeriformes; Pipridae
Exons: 3
Source: RefSeq, a predicted model, not a curated record